This is a non-coding RNA of Caenorhabditis brenneri, 72 nucleotides long. NCBI's taxonomy places the organism in Eukaryota, Metazoa, Nematoda, Chromadorea, Rhabditida, Rhabditidae. The record is from the annotation of a GenBank genome assembly.
UGCCCCGUUGCCUAGUGGAUAGCACUGUUGUUUUUGAAAUUCUGAUCGCGGGUUCGAACCCCACCAGGGUCA